UUUAAUAUGGCAGAUUAGUGUAAUGAAUUUAAGAUUCAUAAAUAAAAUAAUUUAUUUUUUAUUAAAA
RNAcentral lists this transfer RNA (67 nucleotides) under Pambolus sp. QL-2013. RNAcentral's name for it is "tRNA-Leu". The record is from RNAcentral. Lineage: Eukaryota; Metazoa; Arthropoda; Insecta; Hymenoptera; Braconidae.